GAUGAACGCUGGCGGCGUGCCUAAUACAUGCAAGUCGAGCGAACAGACGAGGAGCUUGCUCCUCUGACGUUAGCGGCGGACGGGUGAGUAACACGUGGAUAACCUACCUAUAAGACUGGGAUAACUUCGGGAAACCGGAGCUAAUACCGGAUAAUAUAUUGAACCGCAUGGUUCAAUAGUGAAAGACGGUUUUGCUGUCACUUAUAGAUGGAUCCGCGCCGCAUUAGCUAGUUGGUAAGGUAACGGCUUACCAAGGCAACGAUGCGUAGCCGACCUGAGAGGGUGAUCGGCCACACUGGAACUGAGCCACGGUCCAGACUCCUGAGGGAGGCAGCAGUAGGGAAUCGUCCGCAAUGGGCGAAAGCCUGACGGAGCAACGCCGCGUGAGUGAUGAAGGUCUUCGGAUCGUAAAACUCUGUUAUUAGGGAAGAACAAAUGUGUAAGUAACUAUGCACGUCUUGACGGUACCUAAUCAGAAAGCCACGGCUAACUACGUG
Molecule: ribosomal RNA, 497 nt
Filed under: uncultured bacterium
Lineage: Bacteria
Description: partial 16S ribosomal RNA
Rfam family: Bacterial small subunit ribosomal RNA
Source: RNAcentral